This 1169-nucleotide long non-coding RNA is filed under the name Bos taurus (domestic cattle). RNAcentral's name for it is "long non-coding RNA NONBTAT022592". The record is from RNAcentral. Lineage: Eukaryota; Metazoa; Chordata; Mammalia; Artiodactyla; Bovidae.
CUCUAUGGAUAGAAGUGUAUCUUUGGUUUCUGUGAUUAUUGUUAAUGUUUGAUCAGUGUUAUUAUGGGAAUUUUGGCCUCUGCUGAUCUUCUAAGAACCACACUAAAGCAAAUUUUGCAAAGAAACCAUUAUUUCUAAUAACUUAGUGUGAUUCUGGCAUUGGACAGUCCUCUGUUUUGUAAGAUUCUAGUGCUAAUGUUCCUGUGUGUAGGAAUGUGAUUGAAAUGAAUGGUGAAGAAGAAUUUCGUUAAGUUUAUCUUGGAGCUGAGUACUGUGCUUCUCAUUUGAAAAAAAACAGAGGUAACCAUACAGAGUUUCAGGACUGAAACUUCGUUAUACCAGUUGACUCAGGCUGAUUACUCUUAUCUGGCUCAGUGUCUAUGAAACUCCCCAGUUGGAAAUGCUUUAGGGAGGGAAUGUCGACUGUGAGGACUUCUCUCUUGUCCCACUGAUAGUUUGAAGGUGACAUUAGACAGAACCUAGAGAUGUUCCUCUCUCCUUGUUUCCUCAAAUACUUAGGCCUUCCCCAAAACUUUUUAUCAAGGUGCAAAAUCAUUUACCAUCAGCGCAUACAUCUUUUCUAGUGCUCUGGUCCAAACUUUUAGGUGGUAAUGUUAAACCAGUUGGACUGCAGGUUUUUGGUUUCUGGGUUGUAAGUCAUGCUCUGCAUUUAGAGAAUGGUUUUUAAGGGGACCAGAAUUUGUGUGGACACUUUUUUUUUGCCUUAACCUAUUAACAACAUAUUGUUUUUUUCCAAAAGGCAUUGGCUAGAAUGCCUCCCAAAUUUAACUAGCACUUUUCUCUAUUACUCUAAAGAGCUUAAUAUUGAAAUUCUGACCUUAGACACUUGGGCUUCAAAAGAAUAGGACAUUUCAGAGGAGGCAAAAUAAGAGGCUCCAAUGUGGAGUCUAUUGGUAGUUCAGCUAAAAUUUGGUCUUGAUUCUGAGGUUCUAUCUUUAACCUCUGAUCAAGUAUUUGACUAGAUUGUUAUGGCUAACAUGCUGAAGAAAAUUUGUGUAUAAGUACUUCUAUAUUUGCUUUUGGGCAUUUUUUUGUUUAUUAAAACAUAUUGUGAACUUCAGAGUUAAGGAACUAAAAAUGAUUUACUGUAAGUCCAGGUUGAGACUUGAGGAUCUUAUCUGGUUAGAACUUGCAGAACUACUUGAAAA